GCAUCCAACGCGUUGGGAGCUCUCCCAUAUGGUCGACCUGCAGGCGGCCGCGAAUUCACUAGUGAUUCGUAUUACCGCGGCUGCUGGCACGAAGUUAGCCGGGACUUCUUCUGCGGGUACCGUCAUUAUCUUCCCCGCUGAAAGAGCUUUACAACCCUAAGGCCUUCUUCACUCACGCGGCAUGGCUGGAUCAGGCUUUCGCCCAUUGUCCAAUAUUCCCCACUGCUGCCUCCCGUAGGAGUUUGGGCCGUGUCUCAGUCCCAAUGUGGCUGAUCAUCCUCUCAGACCAGCUACUGAUCGUCGCCUUGGUGAGCCGUUACCUCACCAACUAGCUAAUCAGACGCGGGCCGAUCUUUCGGCGAUAAAUCUUUCCCCGUAAGGGCUUAUCCGGUAUUAGCUGAAGUUUCCCUCAGUUGUUCCGAAGAUCUGGGUAGAUUCCCACGCGUUACUCACCCGUCUGCCACUCCCCUUGCGGGGCGUUCGACUUGCAUGUGUUAAGCCUGCCGCCAGCGUUCGUUCUGAGCCAUGAUCAAACUCUAAUCGAAUUCCCGCGGCCGCCAUGGCGGCCGGGAGCAUGCGACGUCG
This 585-nucleotide ribosomal RNA is filed under the name uncultured Alphaproteobacteria bacterium. Its description in RNAcentral is "partial 16S ribosomal RNA". Lineage: Bacteria; Pseudomonadati; Pseudomonadota; Alphaproteobacteria. The record is from RNAcentral.